UUCUUUUCGUUUGAAACAAUGAUUGUACACAGGUGUAAUGCGUUUAAAUUGAAUCGAUUUUGGGAUAUCAAAAACUAGCGCACAACGGAAUCCAUUUAGGAUGUAUUUCAGGAAACGACGGUUCUGGUAACACUGUAAAAAAAAGAGAACGCUUUUGCAUCGACUAUCAGAUGCCCGUUACUCUGUUAAAUGUAUUGAGAUGGAGAUGGAGAUAUUGCAGAAGCCGCCGUCGUUUUAUACUCUCUCUCUCUUCGUUUCAACAAGAUAGUUGUGGGCGACUUCUUCGCAGCCAAAUACCGUUGUUGUUGUCGCCGCUAUUGUAAGCGGAAUUGCACAAGAACUUGUACUCUCACUCUUCGUUUCACCAAUCAUAGUUGUGGGCGACUUCGUCGCAGCCAAAUACCGUUGUUGUUGUCGCCGCUAUUCUAAGCGGUAAUUCACAAGAAAUAAAAUCUAUAACACUAAGGCUGAGUUUUAAUUGGAAUUGAUGGUUCUGGUAGAACUGUAAAAAAAGAGAACGCUUUUGCUUCGACUACCAGAUGCCCGUUACUCUGUUAAACGUCUUGAGAUGGAGAUAGAGAUAUUGUAGAAGCGGCCCUCGUUAUAUACUCUCUUCGUUUCACCAAUCAUAGUUGUCGGCGACUUUUUCAGCAGAGAUCACCCCGUACCGGGGUUCUAGAAAGCUGUAAGGCUGCGAUAAGCAAGCAGUAAUAAUGAUACUGACUUGGAAAUUAAUGUGAGUUUGGCACUGCAAGAGGGUGGUGUCUCUAGAAUCAUAAGAAUCGGGAAACACGACAGACAUUCAUCGACAUACAUAUGCCCCUUUAAUAUUUGUGCAUAUGUACGUAUGAAUGUAUAAAACAGCAAACAUUUACAAGCCCUAAAAAGAGAGAAACUAUAUCAAUUUUAUAUUUGUAAGUUGAAUGGAAGAUUGCCGGGUGAACUUUGUCAAUGAAAUAGUUUAUUUACUGAAUGAAUGCAUCUCAAUCAAUCACCUUUACGUACACAUACGUCACGUCACAUGCUCAGCACAUCGUAGUUCAUAUGUGCUGGGAUGUUGUAAUACUAUUUGUGUUUUUACAGCGCAUUGAUAUAUAAUCCAUUCUUUUUCAAAUGUCAAACUACAACAGUUAUUCCGUUUUCUCGUCGAAAACUUUCCCUAAAAGCGCAAGUGUUUCUGGGUGUUUCAUCUGAGGUUUCUACUUUAGAAAAAUAUAUGUAUGGUGUUAUAUAUUAUGAAGUAGCGUUUCUCAAAUUACAUGGACUGGGUACAAAUUUGUAUACAAUUCUAGCUUGUUUUCUUCGCUUUCCACUUCGUGACAAACAAGUUUAUGUUAUUCUUAGAUUACAAUCAUUUUCUUACUUGGAAGUACAAUUUAUAAAGACUUCUGUAUGAGUUUACUGGGGUUGUGUUCUUACUAUAUGAAAAAAGCAAAGAAUUUGUGUAGUUGGCUACCAGCUCCCAUAUUUAAAUAGAAAUUUUGACAUUUCCGAAUAUCUUAGAAUGUAAACUUUAGAAGCAAUGAAUUUGUCGAAUAAUCUAAAGGAGCACAACUCAUGGAUCAUGUGGGGUCAUAGCGCUUCGGUCUUAUUUAUUUGUUUGUAAACUUGUUGUUUUUGCUACGUAAGGCAACCUCUCACUAUAAUGCGCAAACUAAUAAUUACAAGUUGAACAAAGCAAACGAAUGUGUUGUAUUAUGAAUAAAUUAAUUUUUUUUCGUGUAUUUAAAAGGAUCCCUUUUUCUGUUUUUUACGCUUCCUUGUUUUAGUACUAGUAUGUGUUACAGAGAUAUUUUUAGUACAACUAUUACAAAUUUUCAAUUAAAUAAACUAAGUGUAAACUUAAACAUUUUAUAAAAGCGCGCCUCAAGCUAACGCUGUUCCUUACAAUUUGCAAUUGACCGCUGGUUUAGCUUCCGCUGCACACUAUCAUUUUGCUUCUCUCGCAGAUUGCUAAACCACAGUUUUCGGCACAGAUCGCCGCCAAGUAAUAUCAUAGAACAUAAAUCAGGAUACAGAUUCGAUACGAUAGAGAAUUAGUAACAUAUGCCGGGCAACCAGACCCGUAAGGCGAGCGGGACUCAAACUCAAUUGAUCUGCCUGUGAUUUGUGUAAGUGAGUGUUUUCGGGUCAACUAAAAAUCUAGAAAAA
Molecule: long non-coding RNA, 2151 nt
Organism: Drosophila simulans
Lineage: Eukaryota; Metazoa; Arthropoda; Insecta; Diptera; Drosophilidae
Exons: 2
Source: RefSeq, a predicted model, not a curated record